Molecule: ribosomal RNA, 238 nt
Filed under: uncultured bacterium
Lineage: Bacteria
Description: partial 16S ribosomal RNA
Rfam family: Bacterial small subunit ribosomal RNA
Source: RNAcentral
GAUCAUGGCUCAGGAUGAACGCUAGCGGCAGGCUUAACACAUGCAAGUCGAGGGGCAGCAUAAUGGAUAGCAAUAUCUAUGGUGGCGACCGGCGCACGGGUGCGUAACGCGUAUGCAACCUACCUUUAACAGGGGGAUAACACUGAGAAAUUGGUACUAAUACCCCAUAACAUCAUGAAAGGCAUUUUUUAUAGGUUGAAAAUUUCCGAUGGUUAGAGAUGGGCAUGCGUUGUAUUAG